Molecule: long non-coding RNA, 642 nt
Filed under: Danio rerio (zebrafish)
Lineage: Eukaryota; Metazoa; Chordata; Actinopteri; Cypriniformes; Danionidae
Description: lncRNA si:dkey-13n23.4 (ENSDARG00000096420.2)
Source: RNAcentral
GUACUGGAUUUAUUUAUGUAUAUAAAACAGGAGCAACUAAAACCAGUGAGACCUGUGUGAGAAACGAUCUGAAAUAAACCGUGUGCGUGCCUAAGAAAUCCUCAAUUCAUAAACAAAUGAUUCAUGCGAAGAUCUUAACAAUGAAUCAUUUGCUCUAGUUCCCAGAUCCACUCUGAAUUGUUUGCUCUGAAUGAUUCAGAUUGAUUCAGCGCUUUAAUUCAACUCGCAGACUCAAUGAUCCAUUUAACAGUGGAAAACAGCCCACCAGAGGAACAUCAUCAGUGAAUGGCUUGAAUUUCAGACUGCUCAUCACACACAAAUACUGUGGGACUUCAAAUACAGUGCAUGAGUCAAACGGACCACUUUUAUGAUGCUCCUGCAGCCUAAAAUAUUUCAACUUUUGGGUUCCACAAUAGAAAGAAACAUUUCUAGUUUUUUGGGUGAGUAAAUGAUUACAGGCUUUACAUUUUCUGUGUAAAUGAUCCCUUUAAAUCAGUGUUUCUCAAAUCUGUUCCUGAAGACUGAAUGGAAAGUAUCUUCUCUUCAUUUCACAUCAUUUCUCUGAAAGCUGGUGACUCAGAAGGAAAAGGUCUGAUGCGUUUUCCGCAUGUCAGAAGAUAUAGAUGUAGGGAAGGAGGAAGA